RNAcentral lists this ribosomal RNA (440 nucleotides) under uncultured bacterium. RNAcentral's name for it is "partial 16S ribosomal RNA". It matches the Rfam family "Bacterial small subunit ribosomal RNA", at positions 338 to 795 of the family's 1533-position model. The record is from RNAcentral.
CCUACGGGGGGCAGCAGUGGGGAAUAUUGCACAAUGGGGGGAACCCUGAUGCAGCGACGCCGCGUGAGUGAAGAAGUAUUUCGGUAUGUAAAGCUCUAUCAGCAGGGAAGAAAAUGACGGUACCUGACUAAGAAGCCCCGGCUAACUACGUGCCAGCAGCCGCGGUAAUCCGUAGGGGGCAAGCGUUAGCCGGAUUUACUGGGGGUAAAGGGAGCGCAGACGGCUGUGCAAGUCUGGAGUGAAAGGCGGGGGCCCAACCCCCGGACUGCUCUGGAAACUGUAAAGCUGGAGUGCAGGAGAGGUAAGCGGAAUUCCUAGUGUAGCGGUGAAAUGCGUAGAUAUUAGGAGGAACACCAGUGGCGAAGGCGGCUUACUGGACUGCAACUGACGUUGAGGCUCGAAAGCGUGGGGAGCAAACAGGAUUAGAUACCCUGGUAGUC